CCUACGGGUGGCUGCAGUGGGGAAUAUUGGACAAUGGGGGCAACCCUGAUCCAGCCAUGCCGCGUGUGUGAAGAAGGCCCUCGGGUUGUAAAGCACUUUCAGUGAGGAAGAACGCCUGGUGGUUAAUACCCAUCAGGAAAGACAUCACUCACAGAAGAAGCACCGGCUAACUCCGUGCCAGCAGCCGCGGUAAUACGGAGGGUGCGAGCGUUAAUCGGAAUUACUGGGCGUAAAGCGCGCGUAGGUGGCCUGAUAAGCCGGUUGUGAAAGCCCCGGGCUCAACCUGGGAACGGCAUCCGGAACUGUCAAGCUAGAGUGCAGGAGAGGAAGGUAGAAUUCCCGGUGUAGCGGUGAAAUGCGUAGAGAUCGGGAGGAAUACCAGUGGCGAAGGCGGCCUUCUGGACUGACACUGACAGUGAGGUGCGAAAGCGUGGGUAGCAAACAGGAUUAGAUACCCUGGUAGUC
RNAcentral lists this ribosomal RNA (465 nucleotides) under Vreelandella stevensii. Its description in RNAcentral is "partial 16S ribosomal RNA". It matches the Rfam family "Bacterial small subunit ribosomal RNA", at positions 338 to 795 of the family's 1533-position model. The record is from RNAcentral. Lineage: Bacteria; Pseudomonadati; Pseudomonadota; Gammaproteobacteria; Oceanospirillales; Halomonadaceae.